RNAcentral lists this long non-coding RNA (382 nucleotides) under Paramuricea clavata. The record is from RNAcentral. Lineage: Eukaryota; Metazoa; Cnidaria; Anthozoa; Malacalcyonacea; Plexauridae.
GGUUACAAAGCAGGAGUUGGUUGAAUUUAUGGUGCUUGAAUAAAUGGUGUUUUUAUGGUCAUGGUUUAAUGGAACAAGAAUAUUUGCUAAAUGUAAUGAACGCGUAAACGCUAGAUGAAUGUGUUUUUAAAUGGUGUUUUUUCAACAGUACUUACGUGUAGCAAUGAAGUGGCAAGAAGUAUACAUUUUAUAUCAAUUCCAAAGGUGAAAGGUCACUAUUGGGCCCCAUUGGGUAAAUUAUAACCAAGGGGUAUGGCAUUGAUACAGAGGAGGGUCAAUUUUGAUGAAACGUGGCAGAAAAUAUCCAAUACAGUUGAAGCAGUCAUAUGCUUGAAAAAGGUUACAACAAAAGAUUGGAAUGAAAGAUUUACAUAUCCUUUCU